This is a long non-coding RNA of Parus major (Great Tit), 3761 nucleotides long. RefSeq lists it as uncharacterized. NCBI's taxonomy places the organism in Eukaryota, Metazoa, Chordata, Aves, Passeriformes, Paridae. The record is from RefSeq and is a predicted model, not a curated record. The transcript has 4 exons.
CAUUUGCUGAAGUUUGGAGAAAGGCAGGAACCUGUUUUAAUUCCAGUAUUAGGCCAAAGAUGAAACAGCAGAAGACAAAAGCAGCAAAGAGCGCAUCUUUGUCUAACACCACAUCUACCUUCCUGAAGGACCAGGAACGCAGCCCCCUCCACGACACAGCUGUGAAAGCAUACCUCUAAAGCAGGAAUUUUUGGAGAAGCAGUGCAACCAAGCAAUCUGGAGACAGAGAAGAGCCAGCAGAAGGACAGAGUUACUUCAGGGGAUAUAUAGAGAGCUGGCUGGGCCCGCUACCACCACAGAGAGAAGAGUCUGCAGCACAGAUCAGUGAUCAAGACAGCCACGGGGCAGCCACAUCUUCUGCAAUGCCCAUGUCUGCUCAGGAGCUGCAAAAUACUGGAGCUUUUGAGAGUCUCUGAAUUGUCUCUGAAGUUUUUCCUGAGGAGUGUGGCAGUGAUUUCACCAAAGAAAGAAAAACAGGACAAACACAGCCAGGUUAUGGUGCAGUAUUCCUGCUUAAUGCUUCCCUGGCUGUGAGAAGUGACUCAUAUCAGUGCUGCUGAUUUUCUGCUUGGCAUGGAGAUUCUCUGGGCAAUGCAGGAUGUAACAGAGCACACCAACCACUUCCAGUUUCUCUGUUUUGGGAGCACAUCUGAAACAAAUGGCACAGCAACAUCCUCAUUACACCUCUGCUCUCCUCUGCUAUCCACCUGUAGCCACUGUAAAUGCUCUGCCAGUUCAUCCAUGCACCGAGCACUCCAUCAGCAGCCUGCUACUGCCGUGGAUGCAAUCUGAGACAAAGCUGUGCCCUGGUUGGGAUCCCAACCCCACCCUACAAAAAUGCAGCUGGUCCUGCAGAACUGCCUGUACAGCAGGGCUCUUCCCAGCACUGCUGGGCAGGAAAGGAUAACCAUCUCCUCACUCUCGGCAGAGCUGGUUAGGCUGCAAGAGGUCUGGAAUGUGGACAGUGCUGAAAUUAAAGCAGCCAAAAAUAAAGUAAGUAGAAAAAUGGCUUAAAACCAUUUUUGUUCUGACCUUUUUUACUUCCAUCAAGGACUGUUGUGACAAACACCAGGUAAGCAGUCCAUGGCCAGCUAUGCCCUUAAAACAUACAUUACACUCCUGGAUGCCACUCCAGCUCAACAUCAAACUUCUCAGAAGUUUGCUCAGUUGAUGAACAGGAAAAACAGGGCAGAGGAUGGUGCUGGACAAGCAGCUAUGCAAGUCAAGGCAUCCUGGUGCAACCUGGAGGCUUGUGGCUCUGCUUCUGCAGUAGGGAAGAAAUCUGUUUAGCUAUGUAAAUAAGAUGCAUAAAUAAAUAAAUAAGAAUAGGAGUGGGCUGAAAAAAAGCACCCAGACCCUGGCCUCUUCAGUAUCUUGCAGGUCGCUUAGCAACAGGCUAGCUGCUGCAGGGUAAAAGAGCAUGAAAUCAGCAUCUUUUCAGCAAAAGACAAAUUGAAUGGAAAUGUGGGGAGGUGGCCUUUUCCUGGCAGCAGUGAGGAAAGAAGUUACUGGUGAAUCUGAUCCUGUGGGCAUCCUUUUGGAGGGGUUCCUGAAUGCAGGGAUUAUUAAUUAACGUGGCUGAGAGGCUUCAUCCUGCCAGGAAACUGAUAAAUUCCAGAGCACGCCUGGGAAACCAAUAAUUCCAUCUUGAUUAAAAUUUUGUCAGUUACAGUCACCUCCUGGGUUAAUUACUUAUUAACCAUCUUAAAUAGCUCAAACCAAAUUCUGUCAGACUCCCCUGGCUAUGUUGGUGCCAGCUGACCAUAGAGCAUGUUUUCAAUGGCAGUUACUUUAAACCAUUUCUUCAGCAUUGCAUGUUCAAGUUUUAUCUCCAUGCCAUCUCUGCAUUCACUAAAGGAACAUGCACCCUGUGAAUCUUUAAGUAACUGAAUCCCAGCAAUACAAAUCCACUUAUUCUAGGCAGGCAAUUCCUCUGAACCUGACUGCUUCUUCAGCCUUCUGGAACGACCUCGUGUGGGCACAGAAGAGGAUCAUUAUGUCGACAGCAGCUAUUAGAGAGAACUGAGCUAUGAGAGCAGCAAGAACAACAUGUGGACAUUUUGUGGAGGACUUAAAUGAGAGUUCUGAAUGAAAGAUUUUUCUGGGUCACCUAAUCUGGGCCUGGAGUGUACCAGUUGAUUGUUUUCCACUGCUAAAUGUAGCUGGAUCAUGGCAGCAAGGCACAACCAGGGACCUUUGUGGCACAUGAUCCACUUAGAGGUGGUGUGGGAUGGUGGUUGGGUCAGCAGAGAGGCUAAGUGGCUUGUCUAGGAAUCCAACAGGAGGAGCAAAGGGAAAAUACAGUGGCUUUGCUCCCUGCUUUAUACACACACAAAGCAGUAAUAACUCAUUUUACUCCUUAUUUACAGAUAACUUGUACUUGGGUAGCACUUCAGCAACAGUGAAAAAUCAGCUGGGGGCUAUAAGUGAACCAAAUUUGCUUGGAGCAGGGAAACUUCUCACCUGCAUUUUAUCCUUCUGAGUUCCCCAUCACAGCACAUAAUCUUUCCUGUGAUGGAUGGAAGGUUUAGAAGACAUCCCCAGUUCCAUAGGCAGGAAAUUACAUAGUAUAGAACAAGAUGGCUGCUUUCAAUCCUUACAACUUCAAAAAUUACUUCUGUGUCCUUGGGAGCUGCACACAGAGACAUUUGGCAAUAUUUUGUUUCCCUCCUUGUCUGGGGCUGAAAGGAAGGCGAUUGUGGCUCAGUGAGGAACACUUAGAUGAGCUACCCUCCAUUUCCUUAAUGAGCCUAUUAAGUGACUCAUCAAAGGUGUAACGACCAGUCUCAGAAGGGAGAGGCACACAGAAGUAACUGACUGCACUGAGAUAUUCCUAGUGCACACAAAACAACUACAGUAUAUGCUACAAGAGUUAAUUUGGAAUAAUGUGAUUCCAGUGCUAGGGAAGUACAAAGAUGGAAAACACCUUGGCAAUUUUCCUUUUUGCAGGCUGGAAUGAGGGAUGACAAAAUCCUGCUGUGACACCUCCAUCUCUGGGGUAUUUGCAGAGUCAAGCACCUGGUGGAACUGUUCCUGCUCCCUGAGCCUGAGCAAAAUCUGUGACUUAAGGAGGAGAAACUUGGUUUAGGACACGAGAACCAAAGACCAUAUCAAAAUUCAAACGGAAUUUUAUUCUCUGCUUUCCUAAAUGAGUCCUUGAAGGUGUGCAUGCCAGAAUUUAAUCUUUCCAAGGAGAUUUAAAAGUACUGCUGUAUUCACUCAAAUACACCAGGCAUACAGCAACCAGCUCACGUCACUCUCCACCACACUGGAUUUUAUUUACAAGGUUAACUAUGAUCCACUGUUGCCCAUUUUCCAGAAUCUUGUGUUCUGAUUGUUUAUUAAGAGUGGAGCAAGGGAAGCAGGAAGAGCAAAUAGCAUCAAUAAUGCUUAGGAGACUGAAAGAGAAGAUGUACUAAAACACAUGCCUAUUUCUCCUGAAAUGCCAUUUUAUGUCAACUGCCAUGGUUUCCAGGCUGUCAGAAUUGAAUUAUAUUGUAAUUACAUCCUAUUUGGACAAGGUCACAAGAAUAAAAGCUUAGUACUUUCCUCCAUUGCAGGUGCUUUAUGUUCUUACACUCCUGCAGCAGACAAGCCUCCUUUUCUAAUGGCAACAAAUUUGCCUUCAGCAUAAAAUGCUGGUUUAAGUCCGUCCAUUAGUGCAAGGUGAGGCACAUUAAAAACUUAAGAGCCAUCAUUACUGAUCUUUCUGAGAAACACCCCAGAGCACAGAUGUCUAUAUUCUCUUCCUAAUCCUUACA